Long non-coding RNA from Drosophila mojavensis, 1051 nucleotides. RefSeq lists it as uncharacterized. NCBI's taxonomy places the organism in Eukaryota, Metazoa, Arthropoda, Insecta, Diptera, Drosophilidae. The record is from RefSeq and is a predicted model, not a curated record. The transcript has 3 exons.
ACUAACAAUUAGUAAAGUGUGGAGAUUUUUUUUCCAAAUUUAAUGACACGGAUGUAAAUUGCCAAUCGUGCCAAAAACAAUUGAAGUAUUGUAAAAAUACAACCAAUAUGCUUCAGCACUUAAAACUCAAACAUACGAAAGAGUUCGCGUCCCUAAAGGAAAAUUUGAAAACGGCGGGCUGCGGGAAUUCUGCCUUUCAAAAAAUAAAUUUAACUCUAUUUGUCAACACUAAAAAUCAUGAAUACCAGUAUCGAUUCGUGAUUUUGUAUCGUACAAUCUAUCGAAAAAAAACACAAAGGUGCACGAAGUGGAUCUGCACAGAAAGAAAACAUUGAUUUUGAGCAAACUCCAACAAAAGCCACAAAGCAAAAGAUAGUACUUUGCCUCUUUCUGACAAAUCACACAUGAAUUCACCUGGGUAUUCUCUCAAACAAAAUUUUGCGACAGCAUGAGCGUUAACGAAUUAAAAUACACCGUACUACAACAUAAUUAACAAGUAAGAAAGCUCUAGUCGAGACUGCUCGAUUACGAAAUCCCCUGAACCCUUCGAAAAAUUCUUAUUUCACAAUAAGGGAGCCGAUGAAUACGAAGUUGUCUGGGGUCGCAAUGCUCCAAAAAAAGCUUUACACUACGUGUUCAGUCUAAGUGUUCUAGGGUUAGUGGUAUAAUUAUGUAUGCAUGUUGGUAUGUACUAUAUACAUACAGACAGUCAAGGCAAAAAGUCAUCAUAUACCACCCAUAUUUCGAUAUUUCGGAUUUUCUCAACGAAAAUUUAAAAGUGGGACACGCACACUGUUCUAGCUAACCCUUUCCUCUUUCCAAGAAAACGGUGUUUCCGGAAGACCUGGUCAAAAACUGAUGUGUUGGUCUUUCAACUUCCGUCAUUAAAAUAUCCAGAUGACACGCAGCAGUACUUCAUCAAAGCAACUCUGGAUGUCAACACAGCUCGCUGGGGUAUGAUACUUGAGGAUUUGUCUCUGUAUAAUAUCCAUAAAUAAAUAAUAAAUACCUAAAACAAAUAGUAAAGAGCUACUUAAGAGCUGCCAGGAUA